UGGUAAUGCCGGAUGCUCCAGUUGACCGCAUGGUCCUCUGGGAAAGCUUUUGCGGUAUGGGAUGGGGUCGCGUCCUAUCAGCUUGAUGGCGGGGUAACGGCCCACCAUGGCUUCGACGGGUAGCCGGCCUGAGAGGGCGACCGGCCACAUUGGGACUGAGAUACGGCCCAGACUCCUACGGGAGGCAGCAGUGGGGAAUAUUGCACAAUGGGCGCAAGCCUGAUGCAGCGACGCCGCGUGCGGGAUGACGGCCUUCGGGUUGUAAACCGCUUUUGACUGGGAGCAAGCCCUUCGGGGUGAGUGUACCUUUCGAAUAAGCACCGGCUAACUACGUGCCAGCAGCCGCGGUAAUACGUAGGGUGCAAGCGUUAUCCGGAAUUAUUGGGCGUAAAGGGCUCGUAGGCGGUUCGUCGCGUCCGGUGUGAAAGUCCAUCGCUUAACGGUGGAUCCGCGCCGGGUACGGGCGGGCUUGAGUGCGGUAGGGGAGACUGGAAUUCCCGGUGUAACGGUGGAAUGUGUAGAUAUCGGAAAAAGAACAC
This 539-nucleotide ribosomal RNA is filed under the name Bifidobacterium adolescentis. Its description in RNAcentral is "partial 16S ribosomal RNA". It matches the Rfam family "Bacterial small subunit ribosomal RNA", at positions 161 to 709 of the family's 1533-position model. Lineage: Bacteria; Bacillati; Actinomycetota; Actinomycetes; Bifidobacteriales; Bifidobacteriaceae. The record is from RNAcentral.